CAGCAGCCGCGGGAAUACGUAGGUCCCGAGCGUUGUCCGGAUUUAUUGGGCGUAAAGGGAGCGCAGGCGGUUUAGUAAGUCUGAAGUUAAAGGCAUUGGCUCAACCAAUGUAUGCUUUGGAAACUGUUAGACUUGAGUGCAGAAGGGGAGAGUGGAAUUCCAUGUGUAGCGGUGAAAUGCGUAGAUAUAUGGAGGAACACCGGUGGCGAAAGCGACUCUCUGGUCUGUCACUGACGCUGAGGCUCGAAAGCGUGAGUAGCGAACAGGAUUAGAUACCCCAGUAGUCCCUGUCUCUUAUACA
RNAcentral lists this ribosomal RNA (301 nucleotides) under uncultured bacterium. Its description in RNAcentral is "partial 16S ribosomal RNA". It matches the Rfam family "Bacterial small subunit ribosomal RNA", at positions 509 to 808 of the family's 1533-position model. The record is from RNAcentral.